This 184-nucleotide ribosomal RNA is filed under the name Kuehneromyces brunneoalbescens. Its description in RNAcentral is "5.8S ribosomal RNA". The stretch from base 19 to 172 matches the Rfam family "5.8S ribosomal RNA". Rfam says of the family: 5.8S ribosomal RNA (5.8S rRNA) is a component of the large subunit of the eukaryotic ribosome. It is transcribed by RNA polymerase I as part of the 45S precursor that also contains 18S and 28S rRNA. Lineage: Eukaryota; Fungi; Basidiomycota; Agaricomycetes; Agaricales; Kuehneromycetaceae. The record is from RNAcentral.
UGCUUAUAAACUAUAUACAACUUUCAACAACGGAUCUCUUGGCUCUCGCAUCGAUGAAGAACGCAGCGAAAUGCGAUAAGUAAUGUGAAUUGCAGAAUUCAGUGAAUCAUCGAAUCUUUGAACGCACCUUGCGCUCCUUGGUAUUCCGAGGAGCAUGCCUGUUUGAGUGUCAUUAAAUUCUCAA